CCCUUAGAGUUUGAUCCUGGCUCAGAUUGAACGCUGGCGGCAUGCCUUACACAUGCAAGUCGAACGGCAGCGCGGGGCAACCUGGCGGCGAGUGGCGAACGGGUGAGUAAUAUAUCGGAACGUACCCUGGAGUGGGGGAUAACGUAGCGAAAGUUACGCUAAUACCGCAUACGAUCUAAGGAUGAAAGCAGGGGACCGCAAGGCCUUGUGCUCCUGGAGCGGCCGAUAUCUGAUUAGCUAGUUGGUGGGGUAAAGGCCCACCAAGGCAUCGAUCAGUAGCUGGUCUGAGAGGACGACCAGCCACACUGGAACUGAGACACGGUCCAGACUCCUACGGGAGGCAGCAGUGGGGAAUUUUGGACAAUGGGCGCAAGCCUGAUCCAGCAAUGCCGCGUGAGUGAAGAAGGCCUUCGGGUUGUAAAGCUCUUUUGUCAGGGAAGAAACGGUGAGGGCUAAUAUCCCUUGCUAAUGACGGUACCUGAAGAAUAAGCACCGGCUAACUACGUGCCAGCAGCCGCGGUAAUACGUAGGGUGCAAGCGUUAAUCGGAAUUACUGGGCGUAAAGCGUGCGCAGGCGGUUUUGUAAGUUUGUCGUGAAAUCCCCGGGCUCAACCUGGGAAUGGCGAUGAAGACUGCAAGGCUAGAGUUUGGCAGAGGGGGGUAGAAUUCCACGUGUAGCAGUGAAAUGCGUAGAUAUGUGGAGGAACACCGAUGGCGAAGGCAGCCCCCUGGGUCAAAACUGACGCUCAUGCACGAAAGCGUGGGGAGCAAACAGGAUUAGAUACCCUGGUAGUCCACGCCCUAAACGAUGUCUACUAGUUGUCGGGUCUUAAUUGACUUGGUGACGCA
RNAcentral lists this ribosomal RNA (849 nucleotides) under uncultured bacterium. RNAcentral describes it as "bacterial SSU rRNA". It matches the Rfam family "Bacterial small subunit ribosomal RNA", at positions 1 to 850 of the family's 1533-position model. The record is from RNAcentral.